GUCACAUAGACUCUAGAAUUUGCACUCCAGAUUCCAGUGAGGUAGCCCCCCUCUUUCCAGUCACCAAUCAGAUGGAACGAAGUCUGUUUAAGAGAUGAGCAAGCUUAUCUUGAAGACGCUAAGGAUGUUCUGGAAGCAGUUGGAAUAAGCAGCAGGAUAAACUUUACUGGCUGGACAUGGCUGCAUCUGAGAAAUCCUGUGACAUCCCACAAAAGCCGGCACAAAGUAGCAUUUAGUUAUCUAUACAAGCCAAUGCAUAGUGGGGAGCCUUAAGAAAGCCCUGAUGACAUCUCCUGCUUAAGCUGGCUCUGAGUGCUCACCACAGGAGGAAAAAGGGAGCACCCCCAUGGCAAACAGACAUGGUUUUGGGGUACUACAAAUAAAACAUCUAUGAACAAUGGAUUCAAGUUUCUGUGUGGACAUGAGUUUUCAUUUCUCUGGGAUAAAUACCAAGGAGAGAAAUUGUUGAGUCAUAUGGCAAGUGUGAGUUUAGUUUUUAAGAAACUAUCAAACUAUUUUCCCCAGCAAUGUAUGAGAUCCAGUUCUUUGU
Mustela erminea (ermine) is the source of this 550-nucleotide long non-coding RNA. RefSeq lists it as uncharacterized. Lineage: Eukaryota; Metazoa; Chordata; Mammalia; Carnivora; Mustelidae. The record is from RefSeq and is a predicted model, not a curated record. The transcript has 4 exons.